RNAcentral lists this non-coding RNA (204 nucleotides) under Catenibacterium sp. RNAcentral describes it as "T-box sequence". It matches the Rfam family "T-box leader". Rfam says of the family: Uncharged tRNA acts as the effector for transcription antitermination of genes in the T-box leader family. Lineage: Bacteria; Bacillati; Bacillota; Erysipelotrichia; Erysipelotrichales; Coprobacillaceae. The record is from RNAcentral.
GAAAACUCAAUGACAAAGAGAGUAGUUUAACUAGAAAUCUAAGCGAGCUGGCGUAGGUGAGAGGUCAGUAUGGAAAGUUAGAUGAACCGCACUUUUGAGAGGAUAAUCUGAAUACAUAGGAUUAUCGGUAUUCCGCCUUAAGGAUAAGAGAGGAUUUAGGAAUAAAUCAAGAAGAGUGGUACCGCGUUAAUUGACGUCUCUUGC